This 375-nucleotide ribosomal RNA is filed under the name uncultured bacterium. Its description in RNAcentral is "bacterial SSU rRNA". It matches the Rfam family "Bacterial small subunit ribosomal RNA", at positions 28 to 408 of the family's 1533-position model. The record is from RNAcentral.
GACGAACGCUGGCGGCGUGCCUAAAACAUGCAAGUCGAACGGUUCCAGCAAUGGGACAGUGGCGAACGGCGGAGUAAUACGCGAGCAACGUGCCCCGAAGACUGGGAUAGUCGGCCGAAAGGCCGGGUAAUACCGGAUGUGGCGUUUAGAUCGCCUGAUCUUAACGUUAAAAGGUUUUUCGCUUCGGGAGCGGCUCACGGCCUAUCAGGUAGUUGGUGGGGUAACGGCCUACCAAGCCUACGACGGGGUAGCGGGUCNGAUAGGAUGGUCCGCUCGAGUGGGACUGAGAUACGGCCCACACACCUACGGGUGGCAGCAGGUUGGGAAUCUUGCACAAGUGGGGGCAACCCUGAUGCAGCGACGCCGCGUGGAGGA